CAAGAUUUUUUUCUCCAGUGGGGACUGCUGACCUACGGCAAUCCUAGGGUCUGUAGAGGUUUUCGCCCAGGCCAGA
This 76-nucleotide long non-coding RNA is filed under the name Neogale vison (American mink). RNAcentral's name for it is "Neovison vison (American mink) ZNRD1 antisense RNA 1 conserved region 2 (ENSNVIG00000011296.1)". It matches the Rfam family "ZNRD1 antisense RNA 1 conserved region 2". The record is from RNAcentral. Lineage: Eukaryota; Metazoa; Chordata; Mammalia; Carnivora; Mustelidae.